Molecule: small nucleolar RNA, 131 nt
Filed under: Erinaceus europaeus (western European hedgehog)
Lineage: Eukaryota; Metazoa; Chordata; Mammalia; Eulipotyphla; Erinaceidae
Description: Small nucleolar RNA SNORA17 (ENSEEUG00000016372.1)
Rfam family: Small nucleolar RNA SNORA17
About the family: snoRNA ACA 17 belongs to the H/ACA family of snoRNAs and is predicted to guide pseudouridylation of the 28S rRNA at positions U4659 and U4598. It shares the same host gene together with ACA43. NB This family has a high threshold value to exclude a large number of closely related sequences that do not appear to have conserved H and ACA boxes, and may be pseudogenes.
Source: Rfam by way of RNAcentral
CCUGACCCUAGAGGCAUUACAGAUGUGACUGCUGUGUCACAUGUGUGUCAUUAGGUGGCAGAGAGAAGAGAGGCUUGUCUACGUCCAGUGCUCUGACUUGUUGGCGACUGGGUGAUUGAUAGUCUGAGAAA